Molecule: long non-coding RNA, 2011 nt
Filed under: Salmo salar (Atlantic salmon)
Lineage: Eukaryota; Metazoa; Chordata; Actinopteri; Salmoniformes; Salmonidae
Description: lncRNA (ENSSSAG00000084433.1)
Source: RNAcentral
UUUUUUGUUUUGAAACACACACACACACACACACAAUUACCCUCCCUCACACGCACACACCCCCUGCGCACGCACACGUCUUUCCGGAAUUCCUUUUUUCUCAAGCCCUGCCUUGGGAUGGCUCGUUAAAGGGUUGUCACUGAACCCCAAACGCCGUCUGUGUCCAACUCCCCAGCGUCAAGACUCGAUCUUCUUAACUUCUUGAGGGCCGGUGGCAGUAUUUGGUAUUUCGGAUGACCGAUGUGCCCAAAGUAAACUGUCUUUUACUCAGGCCCAGAAGGUUGAGAAGGUGGAGAAUAGCACUCCGAAGCAUCUCUUUGAGCUAAAGAAGAGACAGUUGCAGUCUGCCUCUUCACAACGAAUGUACCAGCGCAAUACUGUGACCUGGUUAGCCGAGUGGGCUUCCAGAGGGAGUUUGCACCACCUGACGAGAAAAAUCAUGGAGAGGGGAUCUACUUCAGUAGCAGCAUGCAUGGGACAGAGAAGCUGUGGAGGGGCUUGGCUGAUGAAGAGUACCUGUACUUCGUUGCAGCGCAGGUGCUGACAGGGAAGUCAUUGGCACACCAGGUCUUAUUGUGCCACCGCAGACCCCCGUUGGAGACCCCCUAACCCUGUAUGACAGCGUGGAAGGGGGCGUAGACACCUGUGUCAUUUUCAAUGGUCACCAAGCCCUACCUGAAUAUCUGAUCAGCUGCACAAAAACAACUUCAACCCAUAAGUUCUGAUAACGAUGAAGUCCUAUGAAAUAUAGAUCUUAAUUUCAUUCAGUGAUUGUCUACUCUAUAGUCUAUGCAGAAAAACUGGAUUUGAUACACCAAUAUAGGAAAUUCUGACAAUUGCAUCACAUGUAUAUUGUUUUUUGAUUUGCCAUGGUUUAGUUUAAUUAUUUGCCUCCGUAUUAGCACUACGGCUUCAGUUUGCAGCCAACUAAAUUUUAUUGCAGUUUGAAUGGGUAUGUUAUGAAUUUAGCAGUGGGUUUGCAUGUAUACUGAACAAAAAUAUAAACACAACAAUUUCAAGGAUUUGACUGAGUUACAGUUCAUAUAAGGAAAUCAGUCAAUUGAAAUAAAUUAAUUAGGCCCGAAUCAUCUACAGAUUUCACAUGACUGGGAAUACAGAUAUGCAUAUGUUGGUCACAGAUACCUUAAAGUAUGGGGAUGGAUCAGAAAACCAGUCAGUAUCUGCUGUGACCAUCAUCUGCCUCAUGCAGCGUGACACAUCUGCUUUGUAUAGAGUUGAUUGUGGAAUGUUGUCCCACUCCUCUUCAAUGACAUGUUCCCCCACACAACAGCUAGCAACCGCAAACUAUGUGAUACAGGUUGGAAAGUCGACACACUUUCUGUACAGAUGAAGCCAAUGCUUCUAUGCAAAAGAGGUUUUGACAUUUAAAUCCAGUCAUUGUAUAUACAGUGCAUUCGGAAAGUAUUCAGACCCCUUGACUUUUUCCACAUUUUGUUACAUUACAGCCUUAUUCUAAAAUUGAUUGAAUUGUUUUUCCCAUCAAUCUACACACAAUAACCCAUAAUGACCUGAAGUAUCACGUUUACAUAAGUAUUCAGACCCUUUACUUUGUUGAAGCACCUUAUUGCAGCGAUUUACAGCCUCGAGUCUUCUUUGGUAUAACACUUCAAGCUUGGCCCGGUUGUAUUUGGGGAGUUUCUCCCAUUCUUCUCUGCAGAUUCUCAAGCUCUGUCAAGUUGGAUAGGGAGCGUCACUGCACAGCUAUUUUACUGUCUCUCCAGAGAUGUUUGAUCUGGUUCAAGUCUGGGCUCUGGCUGGGCUACUCAAAGACAUUCAGAAACUUAUCCCGAAUCCACUCAUGCGUUGUCUUGGCGGUGUGCUUAGUGUGAGGUCCUGUGAGCUCUGGAGCAGGUUUUCAUCAAGGAUCUCGCUCUACUUUGCUCCGUUCAGCCUGACUAGUCUCCCAGUCCCUGUUGCUGAAAAACAUCCCCACAGCAUAAUGCUGCCACCACCAUGCUUCCCCGUAGGGAUGGUGCCUGGUUUCCUCCAG